RNAcentral lists this ribosomal RNA (718 nucleotides) under uncultured bacterium. RNAcentral describes it as "bacterial SSU rRNA". It matches the Rfam family "Bacterial small subunit ribosomal RNA", at positions 62 to 763 of the family's 1533-position model. The record is from RNAcentral.
UCGAGCGAGAACCAGUCCUUCGGGACUGGGGACAGCGGCGAACGGGUGAGUAACACGUGAGUAAUCCACCCUCGGUACCGGGAUAGCCCGGGGAAACCCGGAUUAAUACCGGAUGGCCCAUUUGUCUUUCGGGAAUAAAUGGAAAAGGUAGCGCUUUGCGCCUCCGACCGGGGACGAGCUCGCGGCGGAUUAGCUUGUUGGCGGGGUAAUGGCCCACCAAGGCGACGAUCCGUAGCUGGUCUGAGAGGACGAUCAGCCACACUGGGACUGAGACACGGCCCAGACUCCUACGGGAGGCAGCAGUGGGGAAUCUUGCGCAAUGGGCGAAAGCCUGACGCAGCGAUGCCGCGUGAGGGAAGAAGGCCUUCGGGUUGUAAACCUCUUUCAGGAGGGACGAAGCUACUCGGGUGAAUAGCCCAGAGGGUGACGGUACCUCCAGAAGAAGCCCCGGCUAACUACGUGCCAGCAGCCGCGGUAAUACGUAGGGGGCAAGCGUUGUCCGGAUUUAUUGGGCGUAAAGAGCGUGUAGGCGGCCUGGAAGGUCAGCUGUGAAAACUCGAGGCUCAACCUCGAGACGUCGGUUGAAACCACCUGGCUAGAGUCCGGAAGAGGAGUGUGGAAUUCCCGGUGUAGCGGUGAAAUGCGCAGAUAUCGGGAAGAACACCCGUGGCGAAGGCGGCACUCUGGGACGGUACUGACGCUGAGACGCGAAAGCGUG